GAGUUUGAUCCUGGCUCAGAAUCAACGCUGGCGGCGUGCCUAACACAUGCAAGUCGAACGAGAAAGGGACUUCGGUCCUGAGUAUAGUGGCGCACGGGUGAGUAACACGUGAAUAAUCUACCUCCGAGUGGGGAAUAACCAAAAGAAAUUUUGGCUAAUACCGCAUAACACUUACGAGUCAAAGCAGCAAUGCGCUUGGAGAGGAGUUCGCGGCAGAUUAGUUAGUUGGCGGGGUAAUGGCCCACCAAGACGAUGAUCUGUAUCCGGCCUGAGAGGGCGCACGGACACACUGGAACUGAAACACGGUCCAGACUCCUACGGGAGGCAGCAGUGGGGAAUUUUGCGCAAUGGGGGAAACCCUGACGCAGCAACGCCGCGUGGAGGAUGAAGUAUCUUGGUACGUAAACUCCUUUCGAUGGGGAAGAUAAUGACGGUACCCAUAGAAGAAGCCCCGGCUAACUUCGUGCCAGCAGCCGCGGUAAUACGAGGGGGGCAAGCGUUGUUCGGAUUUAUUGGGCGUAAAGGGUGCGUAGCGGUUGGCAAGCUUGUGUGAAAUCUUCGGGCUCAACCCGAAG
Molecule: ribosomal RNA, 575 nt
Filed under: uncultured Actinomycetes bacterium
Lineage: Bacteria; Bacillati; Actinomycetota; Actinomycetes
Description: bacterial SSU rRNA
Rfam family: Bacterial small subunit ribosomal RNA
Source: RNAcentral